Molecule: long non-coding RNA, 1694 nt
Filed under: Sipha flava (yellow sugarcane aphid)
Lineage: Eukaryota; Metazoa; Arthropoda; Insecta; Hemiptera; Aphididae
Description: uncharacterized LOC112689771
Source: RNAcentral
UUUAUAAUUUUUGAAAUGUUAUUUCAUUCAGAAUAAUAUUAUUAUUUGCAAAUAUCAGUCAUCUAUAGUAUAUUCUUUUCAUUUUAUUGAAUUUACGAAGGAAUCUUUUUUACUCAGUCUAUAAUAUUAAUUAUGUUUUAAAAUUUCACUUUAAAGUUUAAAUAAUUUAGAGCAGUGUUUUCCAACCUUUAUGCUGAGGCGGCCCUUAAAUGUCCUUUUUAUAAGUUGAACACUGUGAGACUGUUACAAUAAUCUUAUAUGCGACAUUUGCAAUCUGUUUCACCAGUGACAAUGCAAUCGAGAAUGAGGUAACAAUUUCUGGUUUUUAGCCGUCAAGAUAGACAUAAGAAAAUUUAUUGAAUUUUUAAUGAAGUUAUUCUAAUGAAACAUUGUAUUUGACGGAUACAUAAAAUUGAUCGCCUUCUAGGAUGUGAUUCAUUCAGAAUUUAUCAGGGUCAAUGUGUCAUAGUUUGGACAAAUACAAGCCAGUGAAAAUACAAGGAAGACCAAUAAUCCAAACAGAAAACAACAAGUUGAGAAUUUUCAACAGACAGGAUGUAGAUAGACUGAAACGGUAUCUAGGGGGAAUAUUCCGAAAAAAACCAGACGUGUUGAGACCUUUAUUGGGGCAGAUUGACAUAAGUGUUAAUUACCAGGGGGCAACAAGUCUUGGUUCGGUAUUCAUCUCAAGAUAUUUGUAUUCGAAUAAUACACAACCUGUCAUUGUUACAUGAAAUGGGUUAAUGGACAUAAAAAUAUUAAAAAAAUUAAGGGUACCUGAAAUUAUGACAUUACAAAAUAUAGUGAUAAUAAUGAUAAUAUUUUUAACUUAAAAUUAAUAGAUAAAUCUAACAACAGGUUAUCAUAUAAUGAAACAAUAGGGUAUGUUAGAAAAAAUUGUAGAAUUUUGAAUCUAAAAGAAACUCAUGAUCUAGUCUGUAAUAAAGAACACGAUAUAACACACUGUCAUGAUCCUGUAACAGAUGUUAUUUAUACAAAGUGUAUCUUUAAUUACAAAAUAAGUAAGAUUAAACCUAAAAAAUUAAUUAAGUUAUGUAGAUACAGUAUAAGAAUAAAUAAUGAAAGUAAAUUUAUGUAUUACAGAUAAGAAGAGGCGUGAGUGCAAAUAGUCUUUAGUUUAAUAAAUAAAAAAAAAAAAAAAGGGAAAAUGAGCGAGGGUAUAGAAGCCAGGACAGUUAAAGUAAAAUAAUUUUUAAGACAUUUGAAUAUAUUGUCGCGUCCCGCGUAGUCACAAAGUAUAAAACACACAUUAUAAGAGUUUCUCAUGAACAUCGAAACCAGACGUAUGAAUAAGUUAAAUUGUUCACAUGGUUAUCUGUUUAAGUAAGAAUAUGAAUAUCGGAGUCACAUACACGUGGGUAGUUGACCACAUCCUGGAUCUUGUAUUAAGUAUGGGCUGGUCAAGAGAUAGUACACGCAUACAGAAUCAAUAGAGAAUUAUCAUAUUUUAGAGCACACACACACAGAAUCAAUAACGACUCAUCACAUUUAUCAUAUUAAAUUAUCAUUUUUCAUUUACCCACACACAUUUAAGAUUUACACACACACAUGCAGAUAUCAGAUAUAAAAGUGGGUCCCGAACAGGCCUUAUUCAGACGAGUUUUGGCUAUGCUGCACUGAGCACCUUCACUUAGAAAUAUUUCAUAUUAUUUUUAUAAGUAACAAUUGUUAGG